AGAGUUUGAUCAUGGCUCAGGAUGAACGCUGGCGGUAUGCUUAAUACAUGCAAGUCGUACGAGGGCUUUUAGCCCUAGUGGCGGACGGGUGAGUAACACGUGAGAAUCUGCCCUUAGGAGGAGGAUAACAGCUGGAAACGGUUGCUAAUACUUCAUAUGCCGAGAGGUGAAAGGAAUUUCUGCCUAAGGAGGAGCUCGCGUCUGAUUAGCUAGUUGGUAGGGUAAAGGCCUACCAAGGCGACGAUCAGUAGCUGGUUUGAGAGGAUGAUCAGCCACACUGGGACUGAGACACGGCCCAGACUCCUACGGGAGGCAGCAGUAGGGAAUUUUCCGCAAUGGGCGAAAGCCUGACGGAGCAAUACCGCGUGAGGGAUGACGGCCUGUGGGUUGUAAACCUCUUUUCUCAAGGAAGAAGUUCUGACGGUACUUGAGGAAUAAGCAUCGGCUAACUCUGUGCCAGCAGCCGCGGUAAUACAGAGGAUGCAAGCGUUAUCCGGAAUCACUGGGCAUAAAGCGUCUGUAGGUGGUUUGGUAAGUCUGCUGUUAAAGACUGGGGCUCAACCCCAGAAAAGCAGUGGAAACUGCCAGACUUGAGUGUGGUAGAGGUAAA
This 610-nucleotide ribosomal RNA is filed under the name uncultured Cryptophyta. RNAcentral describes it as "SSU rRNA". It matches the Rfam family "Bacterial small subunit ribosomal RNA", at positions 8 to 661 of the family's 1533-position model. Lineage: Eukaryota; Cryptophyceae. The record is from RNAcentral.